CGCGGCCCGGGUUGUUGAAGUCACCGGCGGGCGGACGGGAAUUACCGCUGAGCCUGGCAGGAUGGACGCAGCGCGGUGUAAGAGCGGCUUCAUCUCUCCAGCACAUCACACGGCGCGUUUUGAGCGAGAGAAGACGGUUUGCCGCACGCUUCACGCAGCAGCCGCCAUCGUCACCACCCCCGCCUCUCCAUGGGAGCCUGUCCCAGGGCCACGUGUACAGCACUCGCAUCCUCGCCGUGGCCUGGUCAGGCCCAGCGGUGGUGGGCAAGCCGUGCAUGGCGACACACACGGGUGGACAAAUCGGCAAAGUAGACGACAAUGAACUUCUAGCGAUUGAUGGUGUGAGUACUUUAUGUGCGUCAUGUCCACAGUACGGUAUAUUACAGGUCAAUUGUCGGUGAAGGUUUGUGGGUGGACGGCGUCGCCCGUUGAGAUCCACGUGAAUGGAUCUCGGAGCUGGUGAUGUGGGCCCCUGCUGGUCUCCACGUCAAGCGCUGUCUCGUCUACCGGUGCCCUGCGACUCUGCGGACACCCUCACUCACGGUCAGGUUUAGCCAGGCAGCAUGCAGGGCCAUUGGAAGUGCAUAUACAGCGUUGUACAAAGAAAUCUGCUGCUAAUUAAAUUAUAUACAUAUGUACAAAAUAUAAUAAUUUACUCAUUUCUGUGUAAUGUUAAACAUUGUUUUGACAACUCGCUAUCUAGAACAACGAAUAUUCAUAGUGCUUUUUAAAGGAAUAUAGCAGCUGCCUUGAUACUUUUUUGAAAAAUAAAUGUUCUCCACGAGCAGCACACGACGCGCUAGACAGAGGUAGGGCAGUGCGGGGACCUGGCACGCAACGUCGAAUAGAAGCCGACACAGGGCCCAGUCGCACAUUGCGGGGCCCACACUCGUCUCACGAGUGCACCACGAAUCCACGACACACACACACGUGUACACACACACGUGUACACACACACGUGUACACACACACGUGUACACACACACGUGUACACACACACGUGUACACACACACGUGUACACACGCACGUGUACACACGCACGUGUACACACGCACACAACGCGCACACACGUCUACACACACACACAACGCGCACACACGUCUACACACACACACAACUCUGCAGCUCCGCACGCCGUUCUUCUCGAUGGACACUGCACGUGUACACACACACGUGUACACACGCACACACGUGUACACACACACACACGUGUACACACGGCGCGCAGGCAACAGGCACUGUACGCCUACGCAUCGGACACGGUUCGCGGCGCACGUGAGAGGCUUCACAGGGAAACUGUUUCGCACAAAGCCACAAGGCACCGCGCACCGUGCCACGCCAAGGCGCACGCCGCGUUUAGCACCCGGUGGUGGUGGUCGUCUCACUCUGGAGAAGACCCCGGCGCGAGCCACGGCGUGUCCGCAUGUGUACCACGGAGUACGAACCAAACACAUCCAAUCACACGAUCCAAAUACCAUCCAAACAUAUCGCUUCCGUAAG
Molecule: long non-coding RNA, 1501 nt
Organism: Lethenteron reissneri (Far Eastern brook lamprey)
Lineage: Eukaryota; Metazoa; Chordata; Hyperoartia; Petromyzontiformes; Petromyzontidae
Source: RefSeq, a predicted model, not a curated record